Molecule: long non-coding RNA, 642 nt
Filed under: Homo sapiens (human)
Lineage: Eukaryota; Metazoa; Chordata; Mammalia; Primates; Hominidae
Description: non-protein coding IGFBP7-AS1:11
Source: RNAcentral
GGUUCAUGUGCUACAAGCUCUCACAGGACCAUGUUUCCUUCAUUAGGGCAUUUAUAUCAGUGUGGAAAUGGAUGUGGACGCGGUGCUGCUGCCUGAGAUUAGCAGGAAGCAAUUCUUUUCCCAUUUGGAGAGACCCCGGCUUUGUUGGGCCAGGAGAUGGUUUUGCAGCAGCAGAAGACUAUGAACUGGGCUUUGGGAGAUAGGAUCUCUGGUUGUAUUCUGGCUAUCCACACUCUGAAAGAGGACCGUGACAGAGAAUUUGAGUAUCCUACCAAUAUACCUACAAAAGGAUGAAAGAAGAUUUGGAGUCAAGGGAAAACAAGGGCAAUAAAAUAGAAGCUUACCACCUGCUCUCAUACAGUUGCUAGAAGAGGACUGCAUAUUUGGUUCUAAGUUUCUGGAAGAUAAAGCCAAAAUAGAAACACAACUCAUUAUAAAAUUUUGGUGUAUCCAUAAAAUAAAAACAAAUGACCUGUUUGAGAAAACUCUUUCUGAGUUUGAGCUCUAAAAGGAACUUCUCUAUGGAAUCCUUAGAAUAUGAGAAGGCUGUGAUAUAGGGGAGAAACCCCUUGACAUUCCUAUAUUGGGUUUAGGUCUAAUUUCACUCAGUAGUUUUUAAAUGUUACUCCUUGUAGACAGAUG